CACGUAGGGAGCAAGCGUUGUCCGGAUUUAUUGGGCGUAAAGAGCUCGUAGGUGGUUCCGUAAGUCAGGUGUGAAACCUCCAGGCUCAACCUGGAGACGCCACCUGAUACUGCGGUGACUGGAGUCCGGUAGGGGAGCGUGGAAUUCCUGGUGUAGCGGUGAAAUGCGCAGAUAUCAGGAGGAACACCGAUGGCGAAGGCAGGUCUCUGGGCCACUACUGACGCUGAGAAGCGAAAGCAUGGGGAGCGAACAGG
This 254-nucleotide ribosomal RNA is filed under the name uncultured bacterium. RNAcentral's name for it is "partial 16S ribosomal RNA". It matches the Rfam family "Bacterial small subunit ribosomal RNA", at positions 524 to 776 of the family's 1533-position model. The record is from RNAcentral.